RNAcentral lists this unclassified non-coding RNA (536 nucleotides) under Hevea brasiliensis (rubber tree). The record is from RNAcentral. Lineage: Eukaryota; Viridiplantae; Streptophyta; Magnoliopsida; Malpighiales; Euphorbiaceae.
UAAAUAAGCAAGAAAAUAUUUUCAUUGGUUUGUCCCUAGUGCUACGUAAUCAAUGAGCUUCUAAAUAUGAUAUCAAACAAAAGAGGAUGAGCUCUCAUCGCAGUUCACAACCAUCAGCUGCAGUGCCUUUCGAAUGGCUUAUAAACACUCCAUAAGCAAAAGCUGGCCCAUAUUUUGGAGUCAUCCAAAUCAACCACAAAAUCCAAAUAAUUAUGAGAGAAGCUUUUGGCCGACACUAAAACAGACCUGAUUGAAACAAAGAAACUAUCCUAUUCUAUUUCUGUUCUAUUCAUUGCCAAGCCAAAAUAAUUGAAAGUAAAUCACUGGCAAGCCAACGAUUCAUCAACGAGUCCUUAUCAAUUUCCACCGCCACCUCUCCUCUACCAACCUCCAAUCGUUCAGAACUCAAGGGAAAAAACACAACGCCUAAAUAAAACAGUGAAAACAAAUAAGGUUUUUAUUUUUAUUCAUGAAUAAAAGUAACGAUCUGUCAACCAAACUGAAACAUAAAUUUGGUGAUUAAACGUCAAUUGAAA